GUAGGUGAACCUGCGGAAGGAUCAUUACAUUCAGUAGUUUUCUACUGUGGGGAGAGCGGAAAAUACCCGCAUUGUCUUUGGGCAUUGUGGCGUAGGAGUACGCUCUCUUUCAUAACCCUUGUCUUUUCGCGCACUCAUGUUUCCUCGGUGGGCUUGCCCACCGGCUGGACACUUCUAUAACCUUUUUAAUUCUCAAUCAGCGUCUGAAUAAUUAUAAUAAUUACAACUUUCAACAACGGAUCUCUUGGUUCUG
RNAcentral lists this unclassified non-coding RNA (253 nucleotides) under rhizosphere metagenome. RNAcentral's name for it is "partial ribosomal RNA internal transcribed spacer region". The record is from RNAcentral.